This 1291-nucleotide long non-coding RNA is filed under the name Bos taurus (domestic cattle). RNAcentral describes it as "long non-coding RNA NONBTAT008112". Lineage: Eukaryota; Metazoa; Chordata; Mammalia; Artiodactyla; Bovidae. The record is from RNAcentral.
GAGUUGAGUAGAUCAGGUAAAAAGAGAAAAGGGAAUUUGUGUUUAUUUUAAUUUGGAUUUUGGUUUGGUUUGGCUAGUUGCAUUUUUUGGUACAAGACCUACUCUAGAACAGCAGGGAGGGAUAAGUACGUGCUCUGCAGUGUUUCUAAAUUAACUUCUCUUUAGGAAUUAAUUUCUGUCCAGUUUAAUGAUGUGAUACUUAAGUCAAAAAUCUGAGGUUACACAGUACCAAAUCUAGCUUCUCUCUCUGGGUUCCUUUUUAUCUUCUUUUUCCAAGUCAGCUUUUGUCUCUUGUUUCUUUUCCUUUUAGGGACUUAAUAUGUCAUCUAGAAUACUGAAGAACUAUGAAAACAUAGGGGAAGCCCAGGAAAUAAUAAAAUGGAUGUGGGAUUUUUAUAGGACAUCUUUAAUAAUUACAAAACUUAUGUCUUUAUGAAAAGAUUAAAAAAAAACUUUUAAGGGCAUAGUAAUUUGGGAAAUGAAAAUUAUUGGGAGUCAAAAAUAAUAAAUGCUACCCCAGCCUUCUGUAGUAACUUAUGCCUUCAGCAUAAGUUUUCCCUUAUUGGGAAAAUUAAAGUACUAAUGCUUGGCUAGUUCGUGGAUGUGUUAAGUGUUUGGAAGUAAGUUAAUAACUCAGCAUUUUAAUAAAGCACUUAUUCUCUACAAAUCACUUUAGAAAAGUCUUCACUCCCUAUAUUCCAUUUAGUCUUGGCAUUGCUCUAAGCAUUUUAUUUUUAAAGAAACUUUAUGUUUAGUGAAACCUGAAUCCAGGAUUUGCUUUAAUUUCACCCUCUAUUUUUUCCCAUCUUCCCCUUCCUCCUUUUUUUAGCUUUCUAAUGACAACAGAAAUCCAGACUUUCUGUUUUUAAUCCAGGAAGGCAGCUGAGUGUUCAUGCUCAGAGCUUCCCAGUGCCAUCUUUGUGGACACUGAGCCAGUCUUAGGUCAGAUGCUCACAACACGUAGGAUCCUCCUGAGACACAUUCUCCUACUCAGCACUGGAAAUCUGGAAGGAGCUUCUCUGGUGACUCAGUUUUCUUUCCAAUACUCUAAUUUCUUCUAGCGAUGGCCUGCAUCACACCAAGAACCGCCACUCAAAGCAAGCCUAUUAGAUACCUUGAUAAGGGAUGAGCAGGAAAAAACACACUCCAAAACUUCAAAGUGCCAUUAAUCAACUUUUAAAAAUAAAGGUAACAGGAAAUGAGGGCUAAACAAUGUAACCUAACUGCCAACUAAAGUCUACAGUAGUCUGGUCUUAGUUACAUUUGAUACGGAGCUAUAUAGUGUUAAGCA